GCCUCGUUAGCUCAGCGGACCAGAGCAGCCGGUUUCUACCCGGCGGGUCGGCCGUUCGAAUCGGUCACGAGGCU
This 74-nucleotide transfer RNA is filed under the name Piscinibacter sp. Its description in RNAcentral is "tRNA-Arg". It matches the Rfam family "tRNA". From Rfam's summary of the family: Transfer RNA (tRNA) molecules are approximately 80 nucleotides in length. The record is from RNAcentral. Lineage: Bacteria; Pseudomonadati; Pseudomonadota; Betaproteobacteria; Burkholderiales; Sphaerotilaceae.